AUGUGUACUGGCAGGGGCCAAAUGAGGACCCAUGGCUACACUGCUGACCAAAGGUCUUCUCCAGUAACAGGCAAACGACUCUGGACCCAUGAACACCAGGGGAGUGAUCCAGGGAGAGAGAAGAUGUUUCGGGCUCUCCGGUUGCGAAUUCUAAUCCCCAUCGUUUAUCUGAUCCUUUCUCACUCCAAAUGGUUUGGAAAUGCCAGCACACACUCAACUUCCUCAGAGGCACAUCUGUGCUUCGUGGUGCAACAAGGAAAGCCUGGGUGCAGGCACAGAGGAGACUUCACCUCCACCUGUCAGCCUGGGGACACCACGGGCCCUGUGAACAGAGGCCCAGCCGUCACCCAGAGAAGUGUGAGUCAACCGUAUUUCCUCAGUGGCUUGUUCAUUCAUUCGCUUCCUCUCAUUCUCUCCAGUGUUAAUUGUGGACUGGCCAAUGCGUGGGUGCUGAGGUGCAGGGAUGAAAGGCAGGAGAGGGCAGGGAAAGAAGCGUCAGAAACCCCACACCCUCCAGUUCAAAUCCCAGCUCUGCCAUUUCCUAGAUUUGUAACUUAG
RNAcentral lists this long non-coding RNA (558 nucleotides) under Macaca mulatta (Rhesus monkey). Its description in RNAcentral is "lncRNA (ENSMMUG00000052914.1)". The record is from RNAcentral. Lineage: Eukaryota; Metazoa; Chordata; Mammalia; Primates; Cercopithecidae.